RNAcentral lists this ribosomal RNA (525 nucleotides) under uncultured bacterium. RNAcentral describes it as "bacterial SSU rRNA". It matches the Rfam family "Bacterial small subunit ribosomal RNA", at positions 984 to 1509 of the family's 1533-position model. The record is from RNAcentral.
ACAUCCAGCGAACUUGGCAGAGAUGCCUUGGUGCCUUCGGGAACGCUGAGACAGGUGCUGCAUGGCUGUCGUCAGCUCGUGUUGUGAAAUGUUGGGUUAAGUCCCGCAACGAGCGCAACCCUUAUCCUUUGUUGCCAGCGAUUCGGUCGGGAACUCAAAGGAGACUGCCGGUGAUAAACCGGAGGAAGGUGGGGAUGACGUCAAGUCAUCAUGGCCCUUACGAGUAGGGCUACACACGUGCUACAAUGGCGCAUACAAAGAGAAGCGACCUCGCGAGAGCAAGCGGACCUCAUAAAGUGCGUCGUAGUCCGGAUCGGAGUCUGCAACUCGACUCCGUGAAGUCGGAAUCGCUAGUAAUCGUGGAUCAGAAUGCCACAGUGAAUACGUUCCCGGGCCUUGUACACACCGCCCGUCACACCAUGGGAGUGGGUUGCAAAAGAAGUAGGUAGCUUAACCUCCGGGAGGGCGCUUACCACUUUGUGAUUCACGACUGGGGUGAAGUCGUAACAAGGUAAGCGUAGCGAG